CGCGGCAUGCCUUACACAUGCAAGUCGAACGGCAGCACGGGUGCUUGCACCUGGUGGCGAGUGGCGAACGGGUGAGUAAUACAUCGGAACGUACCUUAUCGUGGGGGAUAACGCAGCGAAAGUUGCGCUAAUACCGCAUACGCCCUGAGGGGGAAAGCGGGGGACCGUAAGGCCUCGCGCGAUUAGAGCGGCCGAUGUCUGAUUAGCUUGUUGGUGAGGUAAAAGCUCACCAAGGCGAUGAUCAGUAGCUGGUCUGAGAGGACGAUCAGCCACACUGGGACUGAGACACGGCCCAGACUCCUACGGGAGGCAGCAGUGGGGAAUUUUGGACAAUGGGGGCAACCCUGAUCCAGCAAUGCCGCGUGAGUGAAGAAGGCCUUCGGGUUGUAAAGCUCUUUUGUCAGGGAAGAAACAGCAGCUCUAACACAGACUGCGAAUGACGGUACCUGAAGAAUAAGCACCGGCUAACUACGUGCCAGCAGCCGCGGUAAUACGUAGGGUGCGAGCGUUAAUCGGAAUUACUGGGCGUAAAGCGUGCGCAGGCGGUUAUACAAGACAGGCGUGAAAUCCCCGGGCUUAACCUGGGAAUGGCGUCUGUGACUGUAUAGCUAGAGUGUGUCAGAGGGGGGUGGAAUUCCACGUGUAGCAGUGAAAUGCGUAGAUAUGUGGAGGAACACCAAUGGCGAAGGCAGCCCCCUGGGAUAACAC
This 708-nucleotide ribosomal RNA is filed under the name uncultured bacterium. RNAcentral describes it as "bacterial SSU rRNA". It matches the Rfam family "Bacterial small subunit ribosomal RNA", at positions 38 to 740 of the family's 1533-position model. The record is from RNAcentral.